RNAcentral lists this long non-coding RNA (838 nucleotides) under Homo sapiens (human). RNAcentral describes it as "HSALNT0264424". The record is from RNAcentral. Lineage: Eukaryota; Metazoa; Chordata; Mammalia; Primates; Hominidae.
UAGCAAUCCCCCUAGUUAUGUCUCCAAACAUUGCCUAAAAUCUCCAGGAGGACAACAUCAUCUGAUUGAAAACCACUUGACUAAUGGAAUCGGGCUCCAUGACAAACGGCUUCUCCCGUUUACCUGGUUUACUCUUUCCUGUCUGCGUGCCAACAGGGGCCUCAAUUUUUUUUGUGUGUGUGACAAAUUAUAAAAAGCUACAGUGAAUUUGCCUUGCACUACGUCCUGACAGCAUAAUCAAAUAACAGUUUUCAACCUACUGCCUGCACAGCAAGAAGACAAAGUGUGUAAGGACGGGAGCCACAUUUUUUUUCCUUUAAUAAAUCUUCGUUCAGUGAAUGAAAAAGUGGAUUGCUGCUGCUAACCACGAGCCAAGCAGGUUACAGACUCUACACACAUUAUACAGUUUCAUUCCCCAACCACCUAUGCAUUACAUAUUAAAAGGCCUGUUUCUGAAAGGCAGAGUGUAGAGGAUUUGUAGGGCAGUGAAAAGGUAUCCAUAAUCAGUGAUCUAUUGCCAAACCUUAACAGGAAGUCACAUGGCCAAGGAGAACACGGUUUGUGGAGUUCCAGCACCAGCCUCAAAGCAGAGCAUGGAAGGAGAACCUGCCAUUGAUGUGGACAAGUCUGCACUAGCCUCUGGAAGACGAAAAGGUCCAGGCAUUAGAAAAGACCCCAAGCCAUUCUACCUGUCCCAGCUGAGUCCCACACAGACCAGCCAUCCCCCAGCUACACACAGGUUUACUGCAAGCAUGCGAGUAAAUCCAGUGAAGUUCAACAACACCCAGCCAAAAUCAGCCAAAUUGUCUAGUCUACUUCCAGAUUUGUGAAAAUAGUA